This is a long non-coding RNA of Papaver somniferum (opium poppy), 907 nucleotides long. RefSeq lists it as uncharacterized. Lineage: Eukaryota; Viridiplantae; Streptophyta; Magnoliopsida; Ranunculales; Papaveraceae. The transcript is spliced from 7 exons. The record is from RefSeq and is a predicted model, not a curated record.
UCAAACCUAAAAAAAACAAAAAAUCGAGACUUGCGUCUCAACCAUCUAUGAAAACAAUUCCCUCUGCUACUUCACACAAACACUAAUCAGCAAUCUCCUCCUCUCUCUGUUCUGAUUAUUAGUUGUUGUGGUUUCUUUUUUUUUACAGGUAGAAUUUGUGUGGAAACCGUUCUCUAUGCGGCAGAUCGAUCUUAUUUUAUGUUGAUAACAACAAAAAAAUUCACCAUCAAAAUUUCUUACAGAUUCACUCUCUUGAUCCUGAAGUAUGUCUGCUCAGAUGGUGUAGGAAAUCGCUCAAGCACUACGAAUGCAGAACUUGGUGUGGAAAAAGAAUGAUAUGGAAGUUGGACCAUUUAGAGCCGAGCGUGACGGAAAGAGUAUCUCAAUGAUUUCAUGGAACAAUGGGGCAUUGAACCCGUGGGCUAUCCCCUGAAGAACAUUUGAACUUCCUUGGCACAACACAAAGAAGAGUAAUGGAGCAACCAAUGGGCGAGAAAGGAGUAAACACACCGAGUUUCUAAAACGAGGUGGAAAAGUUGAGAAUGGAGAUGGCUAAUAUAAGAAUUUUCAUCAAAUGAUCGCUAAAACAAAAUUUAACUCUAAAAGCGAGCUAAAAAACGGCUAGACAACAAAUCUUCCUAGAUGUACAGUGUCAUGUAGAUUAAGAGACAGAGCCAAAGUAAAUAUGUCGGUACCACAACAUUUGGUGCAGAGCACAAGAGAGCAUAGCAGAUUCGUUGUAUAUCAACUAUAAAACAGGUUAUUACAUUCGUCGCUACUAAAAAUGGUGGUUACAGGUUCCAAGUGAGCACAAAGGAGCAUAUUAUCUGCUCUAUUAUAUUGCAGAUUCACUAUAUCAAUCGAAAGAAGUUACUGUAAACGUAUAUAAGAGACAUCUAUAAAUUCU